UUAAGGUUGCUGUUAUGCAUUAUUGGAAAUGUAGUUCAUUGGAGUUUGACGUGCACUUCUCUUUGCCUUUCCCAAAGAUUUUUAAGGUUAAGAAGUAAAUAACACAAAAAUGACAUGUUGUAUAAUGAGAUUGAAGAUAUUAUUAAAACACACUUAAAGCAGGUAUAAUAUGACCUCAAGUUUACUUCCUUGAACUUUAACGACAUUCCCUAAUACCAGGUAAUAAGAGCACAAAUGAAGGAUAAGGCUGGGCGGACAAGUGCUGACAAACGCAGGAUAGGAGAGGAGUUCAACACUCAACAGGUUUGUUUCCCACAGUCCCUGCAGGCAGCGAGACAGUCUGGCAGACAGAGUCAGAGGUGAUGGGUGUGUUGGCUAUCCCUCUACCGUUUAGUCAGACACUUUCAGAAAGUAGGACUUGUAAACACAACAGGAGAAGGGAAAUUCAUGACAGAGGAGUAGUUAGCCGUCAGAUCCAGCCAAGAUAACACUUGUUUAGUCUCUUCUGUGAUGUUGCUGCUGCCAUUACAAGCGCAAAGUCAAUAAAGACUUGUAUCAACUUGGCAAAUAAAGAAUUGAGUUAAAAUGACCACUUAGACUGAAAUGCAGCAGGGGGCAGCAAAGACAACAACUUUGGUAUGAGUGGAGCGCUUCAGCGAGCGUUUGUGUUUCACCAAGUACCAGAAAAUAUGAAUCAUCCAGUGCAUCACAGCUAUUUUUAUUGUUCCAGCAGAUUAUAAAGUUAGUUGGAAUCAUGAUGAACAUAAAAAAAAUCAGCAGCUGUACACGUGAUUUCUUUGUGCUGGUAGACACCUGCAGAGACUGAUGCAAGAGGGAUGUCUUUAUUUAAGACUUUUCUUGCUCAAAGAUAUCGUGAAUGAUUUUUUAAAAAAUUUGCAUGUUUCAUCUUUCUUGUUUUGCAGACAUUAUCCUGAUUCUUGUUUUAAUAUUACAAGACGGCUACUAGAAGCUGAAAAACAAGGGUCUAUUUUUGACCCACUCAGAGCUAAAUCUGAACAUGUGUUUCGGAUAGAUUCCUCUAAAAGCAGAUAAAAGAACCAUUUGUACUGCUUUUUACACUAAGUAAACUAGAAGUGCCUGGAGGAAAAUAAAAGGUACAGGGGAGGCUGAUGCUUUCUGUGAGAUGUGUGUAGAAGAAGAGAAUCAGAUUCAGUGAAUCCACCGGAAGAUACUGCUUUUAUGCUACCACUCUCACCCUCGUCCAUAAAAAAAAGCAACCCUCUGCAAGUACAACCCCAUCCCCCCUCCCCCAAAUCUGUUAACCCAUUUUUUCCAGGGAAAGGAUAAAGCCUGUUGCUAGGCAGGCAGUGCGACAGUUGCCAUGGGAACGCUUGCAGACAUAGCUAGAAGGGGGGAAAAAUGUUGGGUGGGGUAGGGAUGAGGAAGGGGUACAAAAAAAGAGAGGGGAUGAUGCAGAGCGAGGGUAUGUGUGUCUGUGUGUGUGUUGUAUGGGGGGAGGGGGAUCCAAGUUCAUGGCCAAUGCCUCUGCUCCAUGAUGUUUGUCUCCUCCAGCUACAGGAGGAAACAAAGAGGUGCGAAGGAAUGGGGAUCCAUACUGAGUUCAAAUUGGAGGCACCGCAUGCAGGGUUGCCCUCUGAUGAUGUAAUGUCCAAGGACGUGAUGUGGGUGUGAGGCGGAUAACAAACGAGGGGUUUAAAACAUCCUUUAAAAAGAAAUGGCUGUAGCAGAAAUUACUAAACAAGAAAUUCAACGGCCGCCUAGCAACACUGAGACAAAUCAGAUCCAAAGAAGAAAGUCGUAUUAGAGUCUUCAGCAUAUCUUAAAAAAGAAGAGGAGAACACUUAAACAAAAAAAGUGCACCUUUGAACAUAACUGAGUGUUUCUGUUUUACGUCACACCUUGAAACAUCCUUCAUGAAAAGCGCACGAGUUUUCUGAUCACACAUUCAGGCUUACGCACACCCUUUUUUUUUUUAGCCCCAUACAAAAACAGAGCAGCCUUGAACAUUAAAAGGAGAUAAUGAACUCAUCCUCAGACGUCAGCCUUAGGGGCACUUUUUUUUUUU
Molecule: long non-coding RNA, 2047 nt
Filed under: Xyrichtys novacula (pearly razorfish)
Lineage: Eukaryota; Metazoa; Chordata; Actinopteri; Labriformes; Labridae
Source: RNAcentral